ACCUUAUCAUCUCUGUGGAUGUCUCUGGAAAGGAGGCUGCCAGGGUUUCUGCCACACUUCUUGGUAUCUUUGGGGGGAAAUGGUAAAUUAAAUUCAAUGAGGGAUUUGAAUAGCUCAGGAGACAAUUUCUGAUCAGACCACCACCUUUGCUCUUUCAAGAUAGAGAGAGAUCAACUGCCUCCCACCUGGAAUCUCUCUUCCCUCAAGAUUCCAAGCCUCCUCAACCAUUGCCCACUGUGGAUGGAAACCUUUGCAUAUCUUCCAGGCUCUGUCCUUCACAGUCUCUGGAUUAUUCCUCUAUCACAGAACAAACCUGAAGAAUCCAGUGAGAAGCAAAUACCAAUGCUGGUGAUCUGAUUGGGCAGAGAGUGACUAAUCUGGAAUUCAAAUAUUUGAGCUCUGCUACUCCCACCAAUGUAAUCUUGAUCUAGUCACUUCCUUCUAAGCCUCAGUCCACUGAGCUAUGAAAUGGGAAGAUUAGAAUAAAAGAUCUGUGAAC
RNAcentral lists this long non-coding RNA (499 nucleotides) under Monodelphis domestica (gray short-tailed opossum). RNAcentral's name for it is "lncRNA (ENSMODG00000043299.1)". The record is from RNAcentral. Lineage: Eukaryota; Metazoa; Chordata; Mammalia; Didelphimorphia; Didelphidae.